RNAcentral lists this ribosomal RNA (253 nucleotides) under uncultured bacterium. Its description in RNAcentral is "partial 16S ribosomal RNA". It matches the Rfam family "Bacterial small subunit ribosomal RNA", at positions 524 to 776 of the family's 1533-position model. The record is from RNAcentral.
UACGGAGGGGGCUAGCGUUGUUCGGAAUUACUGGGCGUAAGGCGCACGUAGGCGGCUUUGCAAGUCAGAGGUGAAAUCCCUGGGCUCAACCCAGGAAGUGCACUCGAAACUGGAGGGCUAGAGUAUCGGAGAGGUUGGUGGAAUUCUCGGUGUAGAGGUGAAAUUCGUAGAUAUCGAGAGGAACACCGGUGGCGAAGGCGGCCAACUGGACGAAUACUGACGCUGAGACACGAAAGCGUGGGGAGCAAACAGG